This 2527-nucleotide long non-coding RNA is filed under the name Triticum aestivum (bread wheat). RNAcentral describes it as "long non-coding RNA (TAES_LNC004275)". The record is from RNAcentral. Lineage: Eukaryota; Viridiplantae; Streptophyta; Magnoliopsida; Poales; Poaceae.
GUCGUUAAGGGAAUAUAUCUGAAGCAGCGUCCAGAUCUGACAGUUGAUUAGGUGGGUCUUACUAUGUCUGCUACAUCGCUGCAUGAUAUCCAUAUGAGGGAGGAAUCGCUGAAGAAUGGUGAGCCACUCUUUCGUUGCUGGUGUCGAACAUCCAAUUUAUGAGUUAUGAAUUCUCUCUGCAGAGACAAAGAAAGAAAGUCAUUCAGAUGAGUAGUGAAUUCAUUGUAGACAAUUUGGAAGAACAGAUCAGUACACGUUUAGUGAAAUGGCUGUAUGCCUCUGUGCAUACGAUUAAAGGACAUAUUUCUUCUCCAGUCUUAUUUCAUUAUAUGUAUAAUUUUUUAUUCUCAUUUACCUUAUGUCUUUUCAGACCGAACAUUUUUCUUACUCAUACCCAAGACACCAAAUAGAAGGAAGUUGUAGCAGCUUAGAAGUCACAACAUUUGUCAUGUUUAAACUAAAUGCUAGCUAUUUUGAUAUUCUUUUUGGUGGCCAUACCCGAUAUGUUCUUCCAGUAAAAAAAUGGGUAUGCUACUAUCAGAUCCAACCCUUUCUAUGUCAAAAAUAGUAAUUUCAUAUUAUUAUUUGCAGGCUCAGUUUGACCUUCAAUAUGAUUGUUCUAGCUUUCAUUAGGCAAUAGGAACUGUUGUUGCAAAUAGAAACAGCCUGCAAAUGUUUAUUUAGCCUGUAAAUUCAGAAAAGAGAACAAAAAUGCACCUGUUGAUACAAAGUGACUAAGGACUUGGGGAGGACCAUCACUACCAACCAAGGAGGACCACAGGAAAGGUAGAACACUACAGCUUGGUCCAUGUUCCGUUAAGGUCGGCCUGAUCCCUGUUCUCCAAAUCAAUUUGCCAUGGCUCAUUAGUUGCGCAGUUCUUCUAAUUCGAUAAUUGGUGCGUUCUAAUAUAGGCAAAUUGCAAGGACAAGAACAUUUGAGGGGUUAUCAACACAUGUAAGUUUUGUUUUUCUCUACAACUUUAGAACAAAAACAAAAAACAAGAGCGAUGAUGAUAUACUAAGAAGGAGAUGGCACACAAUAUUGAUCAGUGUCUUUGUCUUUAUUGCCCCGUGGCAACGCACGGGCAUUGUCCUAGUUAUACCUAAAAACAGAUCAUAGUACACAAAGAUGAUAAAUUAUAUCAAAUUUGACAUGAUUGAACCUUAUAAGCUGGCCUCGAGAACACAACGGUCUAUUCCAUUUGGUUUUCCUGGUCCUCAUAAAUAAAUACUUAUGUUGCUUAUUAGAGUUCCAAGGUAUGCCAAAAAAUUGAGCAGAAAGCAAUGUUUGCUACCGAUUUCUGUAAAUGCCUGUUUCUUUGUAACUUCUUACCCUUGGUAUGUAAUUCCUAGAGAUAAAAAAAUUUAUAAUAGCUCUAGCCAAGUUUAAACUUAGGACAUUAUUUUUGGUUUUCACUAGAGUGGUAGUGAUAUUCAAACUUCGGAUAGCUCUAUGCCAGAAGAAAAAAAAGCAACACAAGAAACAAGCGUGCCAGUCAAGCAUAGAUUGUUAUUGCUCAAACUUAUUGAAUAGUGUAUAGCAGAAAACUUGCUUGCUACCAGUUGAACUACUGUUAUGUUGUAAAAGAGGAUUCAAGUUCUGCCUUUUAUGUACAUAGGUACUCAUGCAAUAAAUUUUGGUCAACUCUUUUCUGAAAUUUGUUUCAGUACUAAAGCAUAACCAAGUAAUGAUAUCUAGCUUGAGCAGCUCCUAAAUGGCGUAUUGAAUUCACUCUGGUUGCUCUUUAAUAAAACAAGUAAACAAAAAGAAACAUAUGAUUAUCACAGGUCUCCACAACUUCUUGUAUGGUAGUAUAAUACUCCUUCCAAAAUAUAAGGCGUGCUUGACUUUGCUUAGUCUUUAAUGCAUAACUUUGACCACUAAUAUAUACAAUAUUAUAUGGAUCUGGCAUGCAUAAAUGAUAUCAUCAUAUUUGUUGUGAAAAAUAAUCUUAUUUUAUAUAUCUUUAUACUAACUUGGUACACAUACUAUAAGUGAAAAUCAUAGUGAAAGUUCUGCGAAAAAACUAAGAAAAGUCAACCGCGCUUUAUAUUUUGGGAAGGAGGGAGUAUAUCUUUAUUGGAUAUUCUAACUAAUUACAAUCCUUGUUAGCAUUCUUGUCCCAUUAAUGUGAUGCCCUUCACAGGAAAUGGCCAGUGCAUAAGGAUCAUCUAAUUCUUUGUUGUUUCCGAACAUGGUGGCCCUUUGGUAGAGCCAUGUGAAGAUUUCAUUUAUGCACCUAUGGCUUAUUAUCUGUCUUGGCUGUAAUGAUUUGUUGUAUUUACUAUCUAAAUCAUUGUGUAUGUUGUUAUGCCAAACCAAUUCAUAUAUGUGAACCUUGCUUCUAUUGAGUAUAUAUGGCUUGCAAAAAUGUUAUGGAGGACAUAUUUCUUUAGAUUACCAACUAAUGUAUUGUUAUUGUUAUGCAAAUUCAAUAUGUUUCACGUGGCCAUAUAUUUAUGAAAAAUCCUACCAUUUUAUUGUAUAAUAGACGGGCGCAGCAACACGCGCCAUCAAUGAUCUAGU